GUAUGAAAGGUGAAGACUACUUAAGAAUCGCACGCUGACAUUUAAGCCACGACACAGUACACUUUGGAGUGGCGACCCUUUUCCUUAUGAGAACCUACGGUCUUUUAUCGGCCACUACCGAGACGCCUAUCGAUCGAUAGCGCGCGAAUAUGCAAUACGAAAAAA
Pogonomyrmex barbatus (red harvester ant) is the source of this 165-nucleotide long non-coding RNA. The record is from RefSeq and is a predicted model, not a curated record. NCBI's taxonomy places the organism in Eukaryota, Metazoa, Arthropoda, Insecta, Hymenoptera, Formicidae.